AAAAAGCUCGUAGUUGGAUUUCUGUGUUGGUGAGGCGGCUGGCCACUCGUGGUUGUAGCUAGUUAUCACCGGCGCAUCUUGUCACAAGCCACGCUGGCCUUAACUGGUUGGCGCUGGGGACUGACUCGUUUACUUUGAGAAAAUUAGAGUGUUCAAAGCAGGCUAUCGCCUUGAAUAUGUUAGCAUGGAAUAAUGAUAUAGGACUUUGGUUCUAUUUUGUUGGUUGUUCGAGAACCGAAGUAAUGAUUGAUAGGGACAGUUGGGGGCAUCAGUACUCUGAAGCGAGAGGUGAAAUUCUUGGACCUUCGGAAGACUAACAACUGCGAAAGCAUUUGCCUAGGAUGUUCUCUUUAAUCAAGAACGAAAGUUGGGGGAUCGAAGACGAUCAGAUACCGUCGUAGUCUCAACUAUAAAC
RNAcentral lists this ribosomal RNA (415 nucleotides) under uncultured marine eukaryote. Its description in RNAcentral is "bacterial SSU rRNA". It matches the Rfam family "Eukaryotic small subunit ribosomal RNA", at positions 621 to 1037 of the family's 1831-position model. The record is from RNAcentral.